UGAGGAAUAUUGCACAAUGGGCGCAAGCCUGAUGCAGCGACGCCGCGUGAGUGAUGAAGGCCUUCGGGUCGUAAAGCUCUUUUCUAGGUGACGAGAACGGACGGUAGCCUAGGAAUAAGUGUCGGCUAACUACGUGCCAGCAGCCGCGGUAAAACGUAGGACACAAGCGUUAUCCGGAGUUACUGGGCGUAAAGGGCGUGUAGGCGGAUCGGUAAGUCUGCUCUGAAAGCUCCUGGCUAAACUGGGAGAGGCGAGCGGAGACUGUCGGUCUAGAGUGAGGAAGAGGAAAGUGGAAUUCCGCGUGUAGUGGUGAAAUGCGUAGAGAUGCGGAGGAACACCAGUGGCGAAAGCGGCUUUCUGGUCCUUAACUGACGCUGAGGCGCGAAAGCAUGGGGAGCGAACGGG
RNAcentral lists this ribosomal RNA (405 nucleotides) under uncultured bacterium. RNAcentral describes it as "bacterial SSU rRNA". It matches the Rfam family "Bacterial small subunit ribosomal RNA", at positions 355 to 776 of the family's 1533-position model. The record is from RNAcentral.